GAGGGGAGGUUAAAUCAACAAGGACUGCUAACUCUUGCAUCUGGGCUUUAAACCCCAGCCCCCUUA
RNAcentral lists this transfer RNA (66 nucleotides) under Somateria mollissima (common eider). RNAcentral's name for it is "tRNA-Ser". Lineage: Eukaryota; Metazoa; Chordata; Aves; Anseriformes; Anatidae. The record is from RNAcentral.